This 63-nucleotide transfer RNA is filed under the name Hyalomma anatolicum. Its description in RNAcentral is "tRNA-Ile". Lineage: Eukaryota; Metazoa; Arthropoda; Arachnida; Ixodida; Ixodidae. The record is from RNAcentral. RNAcentral also lists the same sequence under 1 other name.
AGUAAAAUGCCUGAAUAAAGGGUUAUCUUGAUAGGAUAAACUAUGUAUUUUAUACUUUUACUA